UGGGGAAUCUUCGGCAAUGGGCGAAAGCCUGACCGAGCCAUGCCGCGUGAGUGACGAAGGCCCUAGGGUCGUAAAGCUCUUUCGCCAGGGAUGAUAAUGACAGUACCUGGUAAAGAAACCCCGGCUAACUCCGUGCCAGCAGCCGCGGUAAUACGGAGGGGGUUAGCGUUGUUCGGAAUUACUGGGCGUAAAGCGCGCGUAGGCGGACCGAAAAGUUGGGGGUGAAAUCCCGGGGCUCAACCCCGGAACUGCCUCCAAAACUGCCGGUCUAGAGUUCUGGAGAGGUGAGUGGAAUUCCGAGUGUAGAGGUGAAAUUCGUAGAUAUUCGGAGGAACACCAGUGGCGAAGGCGGCUCACUGGCCAGAUACUGACGCUGAGGUGCGAAAGUGUGGGGAGCAAACAGGAUUAGAUACCCGGGUAGUCC
This 424-nucleotide ribosomal RNA is filed under the name uncultured prokaryote. Its description in RNAcentral is "bacterial SSU rRNA". It matches the Rfam family "Bacterial small subunit ribosomal RNA", at positions 355 to 796 of the family's 1533-position model. The record is from RNAcentral.